UCCAUCAGUGUGGACGUCCCCUCUGGUGCUCUCUGCCCGCGUACAUACAACCCCUCUUCCUUUCAGUCUGCACUUGCAUCUCUGGGCUUCGUAUCUCAAGCAUCCUAAGCUCUGAGGACCACCAAGUUGGCAAUUCACUCUUGAACCAUUAACCAGCAAUUCCACACAAACCAUCAUUCAGGUGCCUUGUCGCCUACAUCCAUUUGCUCGCUGUCUGCCUGGUCCUGGGUCCUUUUCCUCCAAGUCUGACAGUCUGGACUCUGAUGCUCCCUCAGCCCCGGGGGCUCAUCUGCUCACCCUUCUCCACUGGGACACUGCCUCGAGCAGCCCAUCCUGUGCUGGCCUCUUCCCACCUCUCCCACUUCCUCACUCGCCUGACCUGUGAUGUGCUCUUCCUCCUGCAGGGGCUUCCUCAUGCCCUUUGCCCACUCCUAGGGGUAGGUUCUCCGCACCCACUGUCUCCUAGCUCCCUGCCGUCCCUCUGGGCACAGUGUGUUCCUGGAUCCUCUCAACAAGCCUCCUCUCCUCUCCUGGCUCCCGGGCGCCGUCUCCCGCGUUCCUCACUCUCUGGCCUAUCAGGACAGAGGUGGUCCUCUCCUCCACCACCCUCUCUCAGUUGUCCGAGGUAGCUCACCUUACCUCCCACAUCCUGGGCCCGGUUUCUAGGUCUCUCCUGGUUUCUCCAGGGCACGCACAGCAACACUUCCGCUACUCUCUGUGACCCCUCCAGCCAGCCUCAGUUGUCUCCUCUGCCUUGUGCCCUUUCAGUCUCCCAUCCGCUGCUCAAGCCAGUUCAGCCGUCUCUGCCUCAGACACAUUGUCACACACUCUCCGUCCACAUGUCCAGCCUCCAAAGCUCCUAUCUCCCAGCUCCCCCAGUGUAAACUUUCCUGUUCCAUUCAGAUCGUUUCACACUCCUCUGACACAUUCGUGGGGAAACCUUCCUGACUCUCUGCCUUCAUCCUUCACCACAAUACUGAUAACUUUAGCUCGCCCUGGGCUUGCCACCCCUCCCUACCCCAGCCUCCCUCUGCACAGAGCCUGGCCCUGAUGCCGCCCUCCUCCUCCCCUCCCUACUAGCAGCCACCUAUCCCCAGACGCCUCUCCAGAACUGACGUCUCCCACUCACUCUCGGCCUUUCCAUCAGUGGGACGUCCCCUCUGGUGCUCUCUGCCCGUUUACAUACAACCCCUCUUCCUUUCAGUCAGCACUUGCAUCUCUGGGCUUUCAUAUCUCAAGCAUCCUGAGCUCUGGGACCCACCAAGUUGGCAAUUCACUCUUAACCAUUACAGCAAUUCCAACACAACCAUCAUUCAGGUGCCUUGUCGCCUACAUCCAUUUGCUCGCUGUUGCUGGUCCUGGGUCCUUUCCUCCAAGUCUGACAGGCUGGACUCUGAUGCUCCCUCAGCCGGGGGCUCAAUGUCACCCUUUCCACUGCGCCACUGCCUCUAGCAGCCCAUCCUGCGCUGGCCUCUUCCCACCUCUCCCACGUCCUCACUCGCCGGACCUAUGCUGUGCUCUCCUCCUGCAGGGGCUUCCUCAUGCCCUUUGCCCACUCCCUGGGGGCAGGUUCUCCACACCCACUCUCUCCUAGCUCCCUGCCGUCCCUCUGGGCACAGUGUGUUCCCG
Long non-coding RNA from Bos indicus x Bos taurus (hybrid cattle), 1629 nucleotides. Lineage: Eukaryota; Metazoa; Chordata; Mammalia; Artiodactyla; Bovidae. The record is from Ensembl.